RNAcentral lists this ribosomal RNA (502 nucleotides) under uncultured bacterium. RNAcentral's name for it is "bacterial SSU rRNA". It matches the Rfam family "Bacterial small subunit ribosomal RNA", at positions 29 to 524 of the family's 1533-position model. The record is from RNAcentral.
AUUGAACGCUGGCGGCGUGCUUAACACAUGCAAGUCGAUCGGUAACAGGUGUAGCAAUACAUGCUGACGAGAGGCGGACGGGUGAGUAAUGCUUGGGAAUCUGCCUAUUAGUGGGGGACAACCCGGGGAAACUCGGGCUAAUACCGCAUACGCUCUACGGAGGAAAGCCGGGGACCGCAAGGCCUGGCGCUAAUAGAUGAGCCCAAGUCGGAUUAGCUAGUUGGUAGGGUAACGGCCUACCAAGGCGACAAUCCGUAGCUGGUCUGAGAGGACGACCAGCCACACCGGAACUGAGACACGGUCCGGACUCCUACGGGAGGCAGCAGUGGGGAAUAUUGGACAAUGGGGGCAACCCUGAUCCAGCGACGCCGCGUGGGUGAAGAAGGCCUGCGGGUUGUAAAGCCCUUUCGGUGGGGAAGAAAGUCUCGACCUAAUACGUCGGGACCUUGACGUAACCCACUAAAGAAGCACCGGCUAACUCUGUGCCAGCAGCCGCCGUAAC